GUCCACGCCCUAAACGAUGCUCACUAGGUGUUGGGGGAAGCGAUUCCUUGGUACCGUAGCUAACGCGUGAAGUGAGCCGCCUGGGGGAGUACGGCCGCAAGGUUAAAAACUCAAAGGAAUUGACGGGGACCCGCACAAGCGGUGGAUGAUGUGGAUUAAUUCGAUGCAACGCGAACAACCUUACCUACCCUUGACAUGUCCGGAAGCCUGCUGAAAGGCGGGGGUGCUCGAAAGAGAACCGGAACACAGGUGCUGCAUGGCUGUCGU
Molecule: ribosomal RNA, 267 nt
Filed under: uncultured bacterium
Lineage: Bacteria
Description: partial 16S ribosomal RNA
Rfam family: Bacterial small subunit ribosomal RNA
Source: RNAcentral